UGGGGAAUUUUGGACAAUGGGGGAAACCCUGAUCCAGCCAUCCCGCGUGUGCGAUGAAGGCCUUCGGGUUGUAAAGCACUUUUGGCAGGAAAGAAACGUCAUGGGUUAAUACCCCGUGAAACUGACGGUACCUGCAGAAUAAGCACCGGCUAACUACGUGCCAGCAGCCGCGGUAAUACGUAGGGUGCAAGCGUUAAUCGGAAUUACUGGGCGUAAAGCGUGCGCAGGCGGUUCGGAAAGAAAGAUGUGAAAUCCCAGAGCUCAACUUUGGAACGGCAUUUUUAACUACCGGGCUAGAGUGUGUCAGAGGGAGGUGGAAUUCCGCGUGUAGCAGUGAAAUGCGUAGAUAUGCGGAAGAAAACCGAUGGAGAAGGCAGCCUCCUGGGAUAACACUGACGCUCAUGCACGAAAGCGUGGGGAGCAAACAGG
This 429-nucleotide ribosomal RNA is filed under the name Acidobacteriota bacterium. RNAcentral's name for it is "Acidobacteria bacterium partial 16S ribosomal RNA". It matches the Rfam family "Bacterial small subunit ribosomal RNA", at positions 355 to 776 of the family's 1533-position model. Lineage: Bacteria; Pseudomonadati; Acidobacteriota. The record is from RNAcentral.